GAUGAACGCUGGCGGCGUGCCUAAUACAUGCAAGUCGAGCGAACAGACGAGGAGCUUGCUCCUCUGACGUUAGCGGCGGACGGGUGAGUAACACGUGGAUAACCUACCUAUAAGACUGGGAUAACUUCGGGAAACCGGAGCUAAUACCGGAUAAUAUAUUGAACCGCAUGGUUCAAUAGUGAAAGACGGUUUUGCUGUCACUUAUAGAUGGAUCCGCGCCGCAUUAGCUAGUUGGUAGGGUAACGGCUUACCAAGGCAACGAUGCGUAGCCGACCUGAGGGGGGGGUGCGCACCACGGGAGCUGAGACACGACCCAGGCCCCGAGGGGAGGCAGAGGGAGGGAAUCUUCGGAAAAGGGGGAAAGACGGCAGGAGGCACGGCGGGGGGAUGAAGAAGGUCUGCGUAUCGUAAAACUCUUUUAUUGGGGAAAAAAAAUUGUGUAAGUAACGAAGCGCGUGUGAGGGUAACCGAAAAAGAAACCCCGGGCAACUUCGGG
RNAcentral lists this ribosomal RNA (496 nucleotides) under uncultured bacterium. RNAcentral describes it as "partial 16S ribosomal RNA". It matches the Rfam family "Bacterial small subunit ribosomal RNA", at positions 28 to 507 of the family's 1533-position model. The record is from RNAcentral.